GACGAACGCUGGCGGCGUGCUUAACACAUGCAAGUCGAACGAAGAGCGAUGGAAGCUUGCUUCUAUCAAUCUUAGUGGCGAACGGGUGAGUAACGCGUAAUCAACCUGCCCUUCAGAGGGGGACAACAGUUGGAAACGACUGCUAAUACCGCAUACGAUCUAAUCUCGGCAUCGAGUAUAGAUGAAAGGUGGCCUCUACAUGUAAGCUAUCACUGAAGGAGGGGAUUGCGUCUGAUUAGCUAGUUGGAGGGGUAACGGCCCACCAAGGCGAUGAUCAGUAGCCGGACUGAGAGGAUGAACGGCCACAUUGGGACUGAGACACGGCCCAGACGCCUACGGGAGGCAGCAGUGGGGAAUCUUCCGCAAUGGACGAAAGUCUGACGGAGCAAGGCCGCGUGAGUGAUGACGGCCUUCGGGUUGUAAAGCUCUGUUAAUCGGGACGAAAGGCCUUCUUGCGAAUAGGGAGAAGGAUUGACGGUACCGGAAUAGAAAGCAACGGCUAACUACGUG
Molecule: ribosomal RNA, 510 nt
Filed under: uncultured bacterium
Lineage: Bacteria
Description: partial 16S ribosomal RNA
Rfam family: Bacterial small subunit ribosomal RNA
Source: RNAcentral